Molecule: ribosomal RNA, 1346 nt
Filed under: uncultured bacterium
Lineage: Bacteria
Description: 16S ribosomal RNA
Rfam family: Bacterial small subunit ribosomal RNA
Source: RNAcentral
GAUGAACGCUGGCGGCGUGCUUAACACAUGCAAGUCGAACGGGAUCCAUCAGGCUUUGCUUGGUGGUGAGAGUGGCGAACGGGUGAGUAAUGCGUGACCGACCUGCCCCAUACACCGGAAUAGCUCCUGGAAACGGGUGGUAAUGCCGGAUGCUCCGACUCCUCGCAUGGGGUGUCGGGAAAGAUUUCAUCGGUAUGGGAUGGGGUCGCGUCCUAUCAGGUAGUCGGCGGGGUAACGGCCCACCGAGCCUACGACGGGUAGCCGGCCUGAGAGGGCGACCGGCCACAUUGGGACUGAGAUACGGCCCAGACUCCUACGGGAGGCAGCAGUGGGGAAUAUUGCACAAUGGGCGCAAGCCUGAUGCAGCGACGCCGCGUGCGGGAUGACGGCCUUCGGGUUGUAAACCGCUUUUGAUCGGGAGCAAGCCUUCGGGUGAGUGUACCUUUCGAAUAAGCACCGGCUAACUACGUGCCAGCAGCCGCGGUAAUACGUAGGGUGCAAGCGUUAUCCGGAAUUAUUGGGCGUAAAGGGCUCGUAGGCGGUUCGUCGCGUCCGGUGUGAAAGUCCAUCGCUUAACGGUGGAUCUGCGCCGGGUACGGGCGGGCUGGAGUGCGGUAGGGGAGACUGGAAUUCCCGGUGUAACGGUGGAAUGUGUAGAUAUCGGGAAGAACACCAAUGGCGAAGGCAGGUCUCUGGGCCGUUACUGACGCUGAGGAGCGAAAGCGUGGGGAGCGAACAGGAUUAGAUACCCUGGUAGUCCACGCCGUAAACGGUGGAUGCUGGAUGUGGGGCCCGUUCCACGGGUUCCGUGUCGGAGCUAACGCGUUAAGCAUCCCGCCUGGGGAGUACGGCCGCAAGGCUAAAACUCAAAGAAAUUGACGGGGGCCCGCACAAGCGGCGGAGCAUGCGGAUUAAUUCGAUGCAACGCGAAGAACCUUACCUGGGCUUGACAUGUUCCCGACAGCCGUAGAGAUAUGGCCUCCCUUCGGGGCGGGUUCACAGGUGGUGCAUGGUCGUCGUCAGCUCGUGUCGUGAGAUGUUGGGUUAAGUCCCGCAACGAGCGCAACCCUCGCCCUGUGUUGCCAGCACGUCAUGGUGGGAACUCACGGGGGACCGCCGGGGUCAACUCGGAGGAAGGUGGGGAUGACGUCAGAUCAUCAUGCCCCUUACGUCCAGGGCUUCACGCAUGCUACAAUGGCCGGUACAACGGGAUGCGACACGGCGACGUGGAGCGGAUCCCUGAAAACCGGUCUCAGUUCGGAUUGGAGUCUGCAACCCGACUCCAUGAAGGCGGAGUCGCUAGUAAUCGCGGAUCAGCAACGCCGCGGUGAAUGCGUUCCCGGGCC